This 253-nucleotide ribosomal RNA is filed under the name uncultured bacterium. RNAcentral's name for it is "partial 16S ribosomal RNA". It matches the Rfam family "Bacterial small subunit ribosomal RNA", at positions 524 to 776 of the family's 1533-position model. The record is from RNAcentral.
UACGUAGGGGGCAAGCGUUGUCCGGAAUCAUUGGGCGUAAAGAGCGCGUAGGCGGCCCGAUAAGUCCGCUGUGAAAGUCAAGGGCUCAACCCUUGAAUGCCGGUGGAUACUGUCGGGCUAGAGUCCGGAAGAGGCGAGUGGAAUUCCUGGUGUAGCGGUGAAAUGCGCAGAUAUCAGGAGGAACACCCGUGGCGAAGGCGGCUCUCUGGGACGGUACUGACGCUGAGACGCGAAAGCGUGGGGAGCGAACAGG